Molecule: long non-coding RNA, 227 nt
Filed under: Elaeis guineensis (African oil palm)
Lineage: Eukaryota; Viridiplantae; Streptophyta; Magnoliopsida; Arecales; Arecaceae
Description: long non-coding RNA (EGUI_LNC035807)
Source: RNAcentral
UGCACAUAAGUUAAUCAUCAUGGGUGGUGCGUGCAGUUCUGCACUACCCACGGUGCACAAAAACUUCUUUUUUCACUCUAAGACUUGCUGACAACCAAACCUGGUAAAUGUAAAAUGGCCCAUUGGCCAGGUCCUCUGGGUCCAAACCAGUCAAGGACCCAAGGUCCUUGACAAGCCUCAUAACUAAACCGAAGGCCAAACCAGCAAUUAUAAGAGAGGCCCAGGCC